Molecule: transfer RNA, 67 nt
Filed under: Claassenia magna
Lineage: Eukaryota; Metazoa; Arthropoda; Insecta; Plecoptera; Perlidae
Description: tRNA-Thr
Rfam family: tRNA
About the family: Transfer RNA (tRNA) molecules are approximately 80 nucleotides in length. Their secondary structure includes four short double-helical elements and three loops (D, anti-codon, and T loops).
Source: RNAcentral
GUUUUAAUAGUUUAAACAAAAACUUUGGUCUUGUAAAUCAAAAUUAAGGAUUCGACCUUUUAAAACU